CUGGGAUAAGCACUGGAAACGGUGUCUAAUACUGGAUACGACCUAUCACCGCAUGGUGUGUGGGUGGAAAGAUUUAUCGGUUUUGGAUGGACUCGCGGCCUAUCAGCUAGAUGGUGAGGUAAUGGCUCACCAUGGCGACGACGGGUAGCCGGCCUGAGAGGGUGACCGGCCACACUGGGACUGAGACACGGCCCAGACUCCUACGGGAGGCAGCAGUGGGGAAUAUUGCACAAUGGGCGCAAGCCUGAUGCAGCAACGCCGCGUGAGGGAUGACGGCCUUCGGGUUGUAAACCUCUUUUAGUAGGGAAGAAGCGAAAGUGACGGUACCUGCAGAAAAAGCACCGGCUAACUACGUGCCAGCAGCCGCGGUAAUACGUAGGGUGCAAGCGUUGUCCGGAAUUAUUGGGCGUAAAGAGCUCGUAGGCGGCUUGUCGCGUCUGCUGUGAAAUCCCGGGGCUCAACCCCGGGCCUGCAGUGGGUACGGGCAAGCUAGAGUGCGGUAGGGGAGAUUGGAAUUCCUGGUGUAGCGGUGGAAUGCGCAGAUAUCAGGAGGAACACCGAUGGCGAAGGCAGAUCUCUGGGCCGCUAUUGACGUCUGUAGGAGCGAAAGCAUGGGGAGCGUAACAGGAUUAGAUAUCCUGGUAGUCCAUGCCGUUAACGUUGGGAACUAGAUGUAGGGCCUGUUCCACGGGUUUUGUGUCGUAGUUUACGCAUUAAGUUCCCCGCCUGGGGAGUACGUCCGCAAGGCUAAAACUCAAAGGAAUUGACGGGGGCCCGCACAAGCGGCGGAGCAUGCGGAGUAAUUCGAUGCAACGCGAAGAACCUUACCAAGGCUUGACAUAGCCGAGAACGCUGUAGAGAUACAGAACUCUUUGGACACUCGGUUACAGGUGGUGCAUGGUUGUCGUCAGCUCGUGUCGUGAGAUGUUCGGUUAAGUCCGGCAACGAGCGCAACCCUCGUCCUAUGUUGCCAGCACGUUAUGGUGGGAACUCAUGGGAUACUGCCGUGGUCAACACGGAGGAAGGUGGGGAUGACGUCAAAUCAUCAUGCCCCUUAUGUCUUGGGCUUCACGCAUGCUACAAUGGCCGAUACAAAGGGCUGCGAUACCGCGAGGUGGAGCGAAUCCCAAAAAGUCGGUCUCAGUUCGGAUUGGGGUCU
This 1159-nucleotide ribosomal RNA is filed under the name Leucobacter albus. Its description in RNAcentral is "bacterial SSU rRNA". It matches the Rfam family "Bacterial small subunit ribosomal RNA", at positions 138 to 1306 of the family's 1533-position model. The record is from RNAcentral. Lineage: Bacteria; Bacillati; Actinomycetota; Actinomycetes; Micrococcales; Microbacteriaceae.